This 2397-nucleotide small RNA is filed under the name Pan troglodytes (chimpanzee). RNAcentral describes it as "processed transcript". Lineage: Eukaryota; Metazoa; Chordata; Mammalia; Primates; Hominidae. The record is from RNAcentral.
AAGGGGAAAAAAAGAAACAGUUUUCCAGUGAGGCUUGUCAGGGGGAAGACUGAUCGCCGGCAGGCCAGCUCGGACCAUGAGCACAGUUCCAAGAAUGCAGGGAUGAGGAGGAGCCGGGCUGGGCUGUUGAGUCCAGGCUGAGCCCACACAUCAUGUUCCUCUCUCAGAGCAUCUUGACGGGAGGGAACCAUCUCUGUGGGACCCGCCUCUGCCAUGAAAUUGCCCAUGCCUGGUUUGGCCUAGCCAUCGGGGCCCGAGACUGGACAGAGGAGUGGCUGAGUGAAGGCUUCGCCACUCACUUGGAGGAUGUGUUUUGGGCCACAGCACAGCAGCUGGCCCCCCAUGAGGCCCGGGAGCAGCAGGAGCUGAGGGCUUGUCUGCGCUGGCGUCGCCUCCAGGACGAGAUGCAAUGCUCCCCCGAGGAGAUGCAGGUGUUAAGGUUUCCACAUGUUGGCGGACAUAGUGGAAGCUUCUCUUGAGAUCUUUGCCACACUGUUCAACAUGUUUGACCACUCUCUCCUAAAAACACUUUCUUCUUAAAGCACUUUCUCCUCCUGGCUUCUGUGUGUCUUACUCUCCUUGAGUUCCCUCUGCCUCUGUGGCCAGUCCUUCCUCACCUCUCUUGCUGGCAGGUUAACAGUCUCCACUUCAAUAGCCCAAGGCUCAGAAAGACUGAGUAAGGCGUCUAACCUCCUCUAGCUGAUAAAGAACCAAGGCUCAGAAAGACUGAAUAACGUGUCUAACCUCCUCUAGCUGAUAAAGAAGAGAACAGGGAUUUAAACCCAGGGACGGAAACUCUUCUCGGUUCCCUAUACCAUAUUCCUGUCUUCAGGGAACUGAGAGCAUUUAGUUGCAUUAAAACAAAUACAAAAACAAACAAACAAAAAAACCUGCAGGUAUCUUGGGCUCUGGAAGGACAUACAGGUCAGGGUGAAAAGUAUGCUUGGUCCAAGCAUCUUUUUUCUUUUAACACAUGAAGUAUGUGUCUUAUUAUUUUAAAAGACAUUGAGAAAAAGGAACACUCAACAUCCUCUUGGUUAUAGAUACUGGAGUAUUAACAAAGUGAAAAGAGAAAAACUAAAAUUUUGUUUGGCUCUGACUUACUAGUUUUAGUAAUUUAUAAGAACAGCUUUCCAUUUGUGCCUUCCAUACAUCCACUGAGUCAUGAGGUUUCAUCAAAUGUUUCUUUUUUUCUUUUCUUUCUUUCUUUCUUUCUUUCUUUUUCUUUCGACAGAGUCUUGCUCUGUCGCCCAGGCUGGAGUGCAGUGGCAUGAUCUCUGCUCACUGCAACCUCUGCCUCCUGGAUUCAAGUGAUUCUCCCACCUCAGCCUCCCAAGUAGCUGGGACUGUAGGCAUGUGCCACCAUGCCCGGCUAAUUUUUGUAUUUUUAGUAGAGACAGGGUUUCACCAUUUUGGCCAGGCUGGUCUCGAACUCCUAACCUCAAGUGAUCUGCCUGCCUCGGCCUCCCAAAGUGCUGGGAUUAUAGGCGUGAACCACUGCGCCCAGCCCAGAUGUUUCUUAGAUUGACUUUGCUGUGUUUCCUUUGUAUCAGAUUUGUCUGAGAUUGACUUCCUUGUAAGUCAUUCGUUAACAGGUUUCUUGUGUUUUCCUAGCCUUCUCAGCCUUCAUUGGCUGGAGAGCCUGUAAUGUGGCUACAGGCUUCUGAGGCAAGACGAUUUGCUCAGUUUCAAAAUGUUAGGGGUUACAUGCCAUUUUUCAUUUGUUAAUUAUUGAAGAUGUCUUUCCCACACAUAAGACCCCAAGGACUCUCCCAGACUCUUCAUCUCCUCUCUGGCCCUGGGCAGAACUCUUCCCCAGGCAAAGUCUGAUUUCAGUGUUCCUUUCUGUCCUGCCACUGCUCAGCUAUCUCCUGUCAUCCAUCCCCUGCCUACAAGGUCCCCUCCUGACUCGUGCAGCAGUGGUGGCUCUUGCCUGAGAUGCAUGGGAGCUUCCGAAAGGCUCACCAUGCCUCCUGUCUCCAGGGUGCAGCUGGAUUCCGGCAGCUUCUGCCUAAGUGCUUUCAGUUAGCACACUCUGACAGGUCCCAGGGAUGGAAGAGCUAAGGUGGCAGGGUCAGAAGAAAUCUGUUGUUUUUUAUUGUUUGUGAUUUAUUAUGACUUCUCUUUUUUUCUGGAUUCAUUGUUAAAGUCAAGCUCCUGCUGAGGAAAACGUUAAAAUGUAUUGCUUUAAGGAGGUGCUGACAGGCAGGAGUCUAUGGAACUCUUAAUCUUAGCUGCUGCCUCCACUUUGAUACAAUGCUAGAUAAAUGCGAGCAUCUUUUCCUAACCUUCCUCCUGAAUGCCUCAUCCCUUGAUCACAAAAACAUCCCUUAAUAAUAGGGGGAAAACCCCAAGUAUGUAACCCUAUCCAUAGCCAAAAUAAAGUCUGCAUGCCAC